RNAcentral lists this ribosomal RNA (519 nucleotides) under uncultured bacterium. Its description in RNAcentral is "partial 16S ribosomal RNA". The record is from RNAcentral.
GGAGUUAGCCGGUGCUUCUUCUGCGAGUAACGUCACAGAUGUAAGGUAUUAACUUACACCCUUUCCUCCUCGCUGAAAGUGCUUUACAACCCGAAGGCCUUCUUCACACACGCGGCAUGGCUGCAUCAGGGUUUCCCCCAUUGUGCAAUAUUCCCCACUGCUGCCUCCCGUAGGAGUCUGGGCCGUGUCUCAGUCCCAGUGUGGCUGAUCAUCCUCUCAGACCAGCUAGGGAUCGUCGCCUAGGUGAGCCUUUACCUCACCUACUAGCUAAUCCCACCUGGGCUUAUCCAUCAGCGCAAGGCCCGAAGGUCCCCUGCUUUCCCCCGUAGGGCGUAUGCGGUAUUAGCAGUCGUUUCCAACUGUUAUCCCCCACAAAUGGGCAAAUUCCCAGGCAUUACUCACCCGUCCGCCGCUCGUCAUCUUCAAAAGCAAGCUUUUGAAAUGUUACCGCUCGACUUGCAUGUGUUAGGCCUGCCGCCACGCGUUCAUCUACGAACCAACGAUACUAAACUUACUGUA